CUGAGACAGGUGCUGCAUGGCUGUCGUCAGCUCGUGUUGUGAAAUGUUGGGUUAAGUCCCGCAACGAGCGCAACCCUUAUCCUUGUUUGCCAGCGAGUAAUGUCGGGAACUCCAGGGAGACUGCCGGUGAUAAACCGGAGGAAGGUGGGGACGACGUCAAGUCAUCAUGGCCCUUACGAGUAGGGCUACACACGUGCUACAAU
Molecule: ribosomal RNA, 203 nt
Filed under: Salinivibrio proteolyticus
Lineage: Bacteria; Pseudomonadati; Pseudomonadota; Gammaproteobacteria; Vibrionales; Vibrionaceae
Description: partial 16S ribosomal RNA
Rfam family: Bacterial small subunit ribosomal RNA
Source: RNAcentral